ACGCGCGAGGAGGGCGGGCAGAGCGCGCGCGCGGCCGAGGGCGGCGGGGGCGCGCCCUGGCCUCGCCUGCUGUUGUCCAGGAGCGCACGUGCGCGGCGGGGGGGCUGCGAGGGGUACGCAGCUCGCUUUCCCCUGGCCGCGAAGGCCAGCGGGGCGCUGGAAGGGGGCCGGGGUGCAACCCCGGGGGGGUUCGGGCAAGGUCGACUGCCUUGGCUUCUGCAUUGUGCUGCGGUGAAAAAAUAAAAAACCUGCCGCAGCAGCAGUUACGCCGGGAAGAGACAUCUUCGGAGACCACAGCAGUGGCUCCUCUGCACUCCCAGCUGACCCCUGGAUACUGUCACCGCGCGGCGGAGAGGGGGUGUUGCCGCAAAGUUAUGGACCUGAAGAUUGGAAGUGACCUGGCAAGGGAGAAGAAGGACAAGCAAGAGUGAAAGAGUAGCAAACCCUGAAGUGGUUCCAAGGGUUUACCUCGUGACCACAGAGACCCAUCUCUGCCAGAGAGGAACAAGCAUGCAGAGAAGAAUUCAAUAGCCUGGGUUGUUCCUGGGAUUGGUGAGCUUUAAAAUCUCCUGUGAUGUCAAGAAGAGGAAAGCCUUCACAUCCCAGGUUUGGCCAUCACAUCCCCGAAUUCAGCUGCAUUGGCUGAAUGUUAAAUGGUUUAUGCCCAGCUAGUGGGAAGGUGAAUAAUACGUAAAGGAGCUGGGAUCUACACAUACGUUGGAUGACACAGACAUUGUACUUCAGAGUCUCGAAGCAUUUUGGUAACGUUCCCCCUAUUGGUAUUUGUGCUCGUUCAGAGAAAGAAUAAAUGGAUUCCUUCUGUGUAUUCCAGAUGUUGGGGUUUUGAGCAAGCUCAAGGGUGCUGAUGCUCCUUGCUCUUGUUCUGAGCCAGCACUCCCCCUCCUUGGAAAGUAGCAUCCAAAUAACCUAUGAAUAAGUAAUUAAUCUUGCCAAGCCUGCAGAUGAACUGAAUGUUGUGAUUUCUGGCCAACUCUGCAGCCAUCUGAACUGGGUGCUUCACAGUUUGUAACCAAUUACCUUGUGGUCCUAAUAACACCUUUAGUGAUUCAAUACAUAUAUCCCAAUAAUGGCAACAUUCUCUUAAAAAAGAAAAAGCCUUCCCAGCUGUAAAAUAAUGUUACAUAAUUGCAUUUGUUAUGGUCUGAUUCUGUAUUCUCAAGGUGAGGGGCAGGAGUGGGGUUAGGGGAGACAGAUUCCUUCUGUCUCCAAAGCUGUCCGAGGUCUCAGACUGGCCUCCUUUCUCAGCCUUGGCACUGUCAUCUUCCGGACAGGAGCAUCUGGGCUCACUCCUGGCAUCUCGGAUCUAUUGCCCUGCAGUCCCCUCCGGGCACUGGAGCAGCGUCACGGUACAGACAAGUAGAGCCAGCACAGAGUGCAGCCACUGAGCCGACUGCAUUGCCUACCUAACCUUGAGGUUUAGAGCGAGUCUGGGAAUUUGAGCAAGGAAGAGAGAGAAAGCUUAUGUUCAUCCCCAAAUUGAAGGCUCAACAGCCGGCUUGAGAAAAAUGAGUUGCCGAAAGCCGAAAUUCUUCAGAGAGAAUUUUCCCAAAGUGACGUUUGACAUUGCCCUGUUUGUUUAUUUUCUUCCUGGCCAAAGGGCCAACUCCAUAUUGUGUCCUAAUUAAACAGGAUAACAAAAUAGAUUUUUGAAAAAGGUGCAUUGCGUGUGCGUAACAUUCUCCUAGCUAAUCUGGAUGCCCAGGGAGUAGCCUUUCUAAACAUUGAGCACUUUACACACAAGAAGAACUACUACUGAGCAACAUUUUGGGAAGUGGUCAGUAGUGCUGAAUCCCCGGGGCAAUCAUCGAAAUAAGCUUUCCAUAUUCUGUCCUCCCAGUGACAUUUUGGUUCAUUAGAUUCUAUCACAAUAAUUUAGAACCUUUGACUGUUCUCCCACUACAAGGCCACAAAGGUUUUUUUCUUUCUUUUUUUUUCAGACUCUAAAUCUUCACACCCGCCAUACCCAUCUACAUAUCUGCUUUUGAAUAGUCGGCCAGAUAGUAGCUCCUUUGCGGGUGUCCUAGUAGGGUGCCUCUCCACUUGCAGAAUUCUAGAUGUCAACUGCCCCGGGCUGUGACCUUGGGCCAUUCCUAUUCCUUUUCUACACUCCCUCCCAGGGCAGCCUCCUCCAGCCCUAGGCUUUAAAUAGCCUCCAUUCACUGAUGUAUAUCUUUAACCCUGACCUCUCACCAGUACUCCAGGCUCGUAUAUCCAGCUGCCUCCAUGACAUCUCUGUUUGCAUAUCUCAAACUUAACAUGUCCAGAGCAGAACUCUUGACUUUCCGUAUUAAAACCGAAACUCCAAAUUGCUUCCUUCAAGUCUUCUUCCUCUUAGAACCAAAACGACUCCUUCUCUCAAACACCACAUUCAUUUUUGCAGGAAAUCCUUCCACUUCUACUUUCAAAACAUAUCCCGAAUCCAAUCUCUUCCUUUAAUUGCUAGCACCCUGAAGUUUCUCCCCUGGGUGACUAACCCGUUCCCUGCUUCCAUUAUCCCCCCUCCAGCCUCAAUUCAGCAACCAGAGAGUUCUUGCAAAACAUGAGUAAGAUGUCGUUAUCCUUGCUCAAAACUCUUGAAUGCUCUGUGCUUCUAAUCACACCACCAUAAAAAUCCAAAGUCUUGGAGUUCCCGUCAUGGCAUGGUGGAAACGAAUCCGGCUAGGAACCAUGAGGCUGUGGGUUCCAUCCCUGGCCUCGCUCAGUGGGUUAAGGAUCCAGCAUUGCCGUCAGCUGUGGUGUAGGUUGCAGACGUGGCUUGGAUCUGGCGUUGCUGUAGCUGUGGUGUAGGCUGGCAGCUUUAUCUCCAAUUCAAUCCCUAACUUGGAAACUUCCCUAUGCCACAGGUGUGGCCCUAAAAAGCAAAAAAAAAAAAAAAA
Molecule: long non-coding RNA, 2897 nt
Filed under: Sus scrofa (pig)
Lineage: Eukaryota; Metazoa; Chordata; Mammalia; Artiodactyla; Suidae
Description: lncRNA (ENSSSCG00055029152.1, ENSSSCG00065039651.1)
Source: RNAcentral